GGACCAAGGAGUCUAGCAUGUGCGCGAGUCAUUGGGACUAGCGAAACCUAAAGGCGUAAUGAAAGUGAAGGUCCGCCGAGCGCGGACAGAGGGAGGAUGGGCGGUAUCUAGUGACCGCUCCGCACUCCCGGGGCGUCUCGUUCUCAUCGCGAGAAGAGGCGCACCAAGAGCGUACACGCUGGGACCCGAAAGAUGGUGAACUAUGCCUGGUCAGGACGAAGUCAGGGGAAACCCUGAUGGAGGUCCGUAGCGAUUCUGACGUGCAAAUCGAUCGUCGGAACUGGGUAUAGGGGCGAAAGACUAAUCGAACCAUCUAGUAGCUGGUUCCCUCCGAAGUUUCCCUCAGGAUAGCUGGCGCUCGCAUCUCGCGAGUCUCAUUCGGUAAAGCGAAUGAUUAGAGGCAUUGGGGUCGAAACGGCCUCAACCUAUUCUCAAACUUUAAAUGGGUGAGAUCUCCGGCUUGCUUGAACUGUGAAGCCGCGAGAUAUCGGAUCAGAGUGCCAAGUGGGCCACUUUUGGUAAGCAGAACUGGCGCUGUGGGAUGAACCAAACGCAGAGUUAAAGCGCCUAAAUCGACGCUUAUGGGAUACCAUGAAAGGCGUUGGUAACUUAAGACAGCAGGACGGUGGCCAUGGAAGUCGGA
Molecule: ribosomal RNA, 643 nt
Filed under: Pachypus sp. ZFMK COL DA4248
Lineage: Eukaryota; Metazoa; Arthropoda; Insecta; Coleoptera; Scarabaeidae
Also listed under: 3 other names
Description: partial 28S ribosomal RNA
Rfam family: Eukaryotic large subunit ribosomal RNA
Source: RNAcentral